Molecule: ribosomal RNA, 497 nt
Filed under: uncultured bacterium
Lineage: Bacteria
Description: partial 16S ribosomal RNA
Rfam family: Bacterial small subunit ribosomal RNA
Source: RNAcentral
GAUGAACGCUGGCGGCGUGCCUAAUACAUGCAAGUCGAGCGAACAGACGAGGAGCUUGCUCCUCUGACGUUAGCGGCGGACGGGCGAGUAACACGUGGAUAACCUACCUAUAAGACUGGGAUAACUUCGGGAAACCGGAGCUACUACCGGAUAAUAUAUUGAACCGCAUGGUUCAAUAGUGAAAGACGGUUUUGCUGUCACUUAUAGAUGGAUCCGCGUCGCAUUAGCUAGUUGGUAAGGUAACGGCUUACCAAGGCAACGAUGCGUAGCCGAUCUGAGAGGAUGAUCAGCCACACUGGAACUGAGACACGGUCCAGACUCCUACGGGAGGCAGCAGUAGGGAAUCUUCCGCAAUGGGCGAAAGCCUGACGGAGCAACGCCGCGUGAGUGAUGAAGGUCUUCGGAUCGUAAAACUCUGUUAUUAGGGAAGAACAAAUGUGUAAGUAACUAUGCACGUCUUGACGGUACCUAAUCAGAAAGCCACGGCUAACUACGUG